UGGGAGUCUAGAGGAAGCCAGAGAACCCAAUGGAAACCCAAACAAGCAUGAGAAGAUGCAAAAGUCCACACAGGUAGUAACAUGUCCUCAAGAUCAAACCAUGGAGCUGUGAGGUUUAAACCUUCAUGCCACUUAAUAAGCAAGCUGAAUAUUUCAGUACCACGGAAAGCACCUUUGCAAUGGACCUUGAGUGAAGCAGCAAAUUUCCCAAUUUAGCAAUAAGUCUGGUGAAAAAAUCAACAACAACCAGCAACAACAAUCACACCUGGGCCUUAAAAAGCAAACGUCUUACAUUUUAGCAAGCUCUUCAGGCCUCUCUAAGUCAAUAAUGGUGUCGUAGCUGUUGGACUGAUUCAUGCGCUGGACAUCUUCACAUGUUUGAUCAGGCUCAGCAAGUGGAGCUGUGUAUGUCACGUCAGCCAUCGCUAACCUCCU
Molecule: long non-coding RNA, 435 nt
Organism: Tachysurus fulvidraco (yellow catfish)
Lineage: Eukaryota; Metazoa; Chordata; Actinopteri; Siluriformes; Bagridae
Exons: 3
Source: RefSeq, a predicted model, not a curated record